CACGUGCUACAAUGGGUAUUACAGAGGGCUGCGAAGGUGCGAGCUGGAGCUAAACUAAAAAAGGUACUCUUAGUCCGGAUUGCAGUCUGCAACUCGACUGCAUGAAGUCGGAAUCGCAAGUAAUCGCAGGUCAGAAUACUGCGGUGAAUACGUUCCCGGGUCUUUUACACACCGCCCGUCACACCAUGGGAGUGGGUUGCUCCAGAAGUAGAUAGCUUAACGAAUGGGCGUUUACCACGUAGUGAUUCAUGACUGGGGUGAAGUCGUAAAAAGGUAGCCGUAGGGGAACAUGCGGCUCGAUCACCUCCUUA
RNAcentral lists this ribosomal RNA (311 nucleotides) under Francisella tularensis subsp. holarctica. RNAcentral describes it as "partial 16S ribosomal RNA". It matches the Rfam family "Bacterial small subunit ribosomal RNA", at positions 1219 to 1533 of the family's 1533-position model. Lineage: Bacteria; Pseudomonadati; Pseudomonadota; Gammaproteobacteria; Thiotrichales; Francisellaceae. The record is from RNAcentral.